RNAcentral lists this long non-coding RNA (550 nucleotides) under Phasianus colchicus (ring-necked pheasant). RNAcentral's name for it is "lncRNA (ENSPCLG00000000011.1)". The record is from RNAcentral. Lineage: Eukaryota; Metazoa; Chordata; Aves; Galliformes; Phasianidae.
AUGAAUUUCUCUAGCUGUUCAUUGGACCCAGCUGAAGGACUGAAACUCUUCAAGAAUAGCAGGCCCCGUGAGAUCCUGAGCUCUCUUGAUGGAGAGGUGGUCACUGCUAGGGAAGGUUUUUCCCACCUGAAAGCAAAAUCCGAGAAUACACGCUCCUGUUCACAAAGCACAAAGAAAAGCUACAGAGGUGUCUUAAUGUAGGUCCCUAAUUAUGUGGGGUAAGCACCUGUCUGAAUGUAUGCUUAUUCACUGAAAAUGACAUGUGGGCUUCAGCACUUUGUGCUGAGUUAAGCAUACGUUUCAGUGUUUUGUUGAACUGAAUCUUGGACAAGGCCAACAGCAAAUUCUCAUUGCCAACGUGUUCCCCUUUAUACAUUUGUUACUGAAUGAGAUCCACUGAAUGAGAUCCACUGAAUGAGAUCAGUAAUGAAGGGGCUGCAACAGGACAGCAGGCAAGGUACAAGUUUCCUUUGCAAAUUGCCAAUUACCUCUUGAGGGGCUCUUUACUCCCUAUGAAAUAAAAACAUUUUUGUAGAAAUGGCUCCUUGCA